RNAcentral lists this unclassified non-coding RNA (1609 nucleotides) under Drosophila yakuba. Its description in RNAcentral is "GE27371". Lineage: Eukaryota; Metazoa; Arthropoda; Insecta; Diptera; Drosophilidae. The record is from RNAcentral.
CAUAAUUUGUGUGAAAAUAGUUUUCUAAAUUCAAAAUUUAAGUGUCUUGGCUUGACCAUCGACACUGGUCAUGCCAUCGUCUGUGGAUCACGUGGUACACCACGUACUGGCCCCAAUGGCAAUCAACGUCCUCGAUUGCGUGGUGCCAGUUAUCCGCCAACUGGUGAUCAUCAUGCAUCAGGCGUUUCUAGUUGGUCAUCAGGAAUCGGAGCCCGUGAUCGAUGUAUCCGGCUUGAUUCAGCCCGUUCGUAAAAUAGUCUUGAUGGUGAACGAUCCAACGCCGGAGUACCAUGUCGACCAGGAGCCGGUGGUCAAUUCGGAUGACAUCAACGUCCUGAUGAAUGGAAUUUCGCGAAGUAUCCGAAAUCUGGCCCGCUCGACCUAUGAUACCAUCUCGGCGAUCGCUGGAGAGUAGCCCCAGAAUUAGUUGUCAUAGUGGACGACCCAAAAAUUCAACAUCGACCCUCCUAAUCCCCCAGAAGAUCCUGCUCCUUCGCCGAAGACAUGGAAACGGUGCACACGGCCAUCGGGGUUGCGGGCAUAGUGGCCAUGUUCUUCGUGGUGACCCGAUCGGUAACUCAAGUAGGCGGCAUGGUGUUUAACCAAUCCCGUGAUCCGAUUGCUGACCUUGUGAGCCGUGGUGGUCCAGUGGCGGAUCAGCUGUCCGCCGUCGAGGGGGAAACUCCUCUAGUGGAGGGCGACCGCAUGGAUGGCGCCUGUUCCGUGGUACAAAGCAUUGGAGGCAAGGCGUGUGCCUUGAUAGGGCCAUUGCUCCCAAAGUUUCCGACUGAACGGAAUUCCGAGGUUUCCCCGAAGGAAGUCGAAAAAGAUAAAAUGGACUCGGAGCAGGUGGUAGUAAAACAGGAAGCUCCGCCUGCGGCAGAUUUACCGGAAGAGGAGUAGGAUCUAUCCAGCAAUGAUGUCGAAUGGGAAGGCUUUCAGAAUGCUUUGUGUGAUUCGAAACCAGACGAGCUCAUUCAUUUUGAACAGCUUGGACUGAUCACAUCUCUUUCGUGAAAUAGAACACAAAAAAGUAAUAUGAAAAAUUGAACUAAAAUUCUAAAUUCGUAGCCAAGGACUAGCUUCAACGUAUUUCUUCAGCAAACAAAAAUCACAGUUGCAGCUGUACCAUUUGACCCUGCAGAUCUGCAGAUUCCAGAAGUGAUUCGCGAGUGUUCCUACCCAAAUCCAAAACUUUCAAAAUGGUUCUGAUGCUUUGCUGCAGCUUCGAUCCCUUCUACGUGGGACCCUGCCCACCCGGCUGCCUGGCUCCUUUGAUGGGGGGAACUCCCUACUGCGGAUGCGGUCCCUGUGGAGGUUGCUGUAGUCCUUGCUGUGGUCCUUGUGGUGGCUGCAGCUCGUGUCCCUGCGGCUGGUGAAGUGCUCACUGGAAAAAGAAAAGAAUGGUCUCUAACCGCUAUCAUAGGCAAUACUAAGCGCAUGCGGUAAGAAGCUUCUUCCGGGAUCAAGCUUCUGUCAAAGACUGCUGGAGGGAUAUAUUGGUGUUAGAAACCCUUUUCCUUGGCCGGGGCUAAAACACCCAAGCUCUCGUAUACAUUUAGAAUUUUUAUUAUGGCUGUUCAGUAAUAAAAUGAAUUAAAAUACAAAA